UUCUAAUACUUGAGCCAGAGAUGACUUGCCAACGACUCCCCUUUAGAAUAAUGUCUCUAGCUUCCAAUAGACUAGACCAACACCAGGAAGCCCUAUAGCCUUUGAUUGCUUCAAAGAAGCUGCAAUUAGGAAAAUAUCUUGCUUUUAAUACCUGUGCCCAGGUUGAAUGGGGUUCUUGAAUUAGGCGCCAGCACUGUUUUGCAAGGGGGCCAGAUUAAACUGGUGCAAAUCUCUGAAUCCCAUUCCUCCUUCAGAUUUAGGAGUCCCCAAGAAAUCCCAACUCUUCCAAUGAAGUUUGUUCCCGUUUUGAGUUUUUCCCCACCAAAAAUUACUCAGAGCAGAAUUGACUUCAUUACAAAAGUUCUUUGGUAGGAGAAAGCAGCUCAUUGGAUACGCUGGAACUGCUUGAGCCACAGAUUUUAGAAGGACCUCCCUACCGGCAAGAGACAAAGUGCUCUGUUUCCAUCCAUCAAGUUUCCUGUUCACCCUUUCCAUGAUGUAACUCAGGGCUGCCUUCUUGGACUUUCCCCACACUGUAACUCAGGGCUCCCUUUCCAUGAUUUCUUGCGGUGUUAAUGGGGGAAGAAAGUGAAACUCAGUACGUACGUUGAAAGAGAAGAAUUGAGUUUGAACGCUGAAGCCUGACGGAGGAUCGAAGCCUGCAAGCGACUCAUAGCUAGAAAAUUAUGCAAAAAAAAAUGAAGAGGCUGAUAUUGAGGAGCUCAUCAAAGCAGUUGCAUAUCAGGUGGCAAAGUAAUUGUCAGUGGAACAGCAGUUGGAGAGAUGGGCACUACAUAUCUGCUCUUGGUGAUGAUAACUUGAACAGAGAUUUUGCUGUACAACAGUUGAAGCUUAGCCAGCCUGACACAAUGAUCAGGGAUAUGUUGACUAUCUUGGUUUAGGAAAUUGCUGGUUUUGGGGUCUGAGGACUAUUGAUAGUAUAUUAGAUGACCUUGAAAGGGAGAUUGAUAAUGGAGUGAACACUUACCAGGCAAUGUGGAAUGAUAGCCCGUAUUCUUCCUGGAGCUGGAGCUACUGAAAUAGAGUUAGCUAGGAGGGUGAAGGAAUUCUCCUUGAAGGAAACAGGAUGAUAUCACUAUGCUAUAGCAAAAUUUAC
RNAcentral lists this long non-coding RNA (1117 nucleotides) under Rosa chinensis. Its description in RNAcentral is "sRNA RchiOBHm_Chr2g0130791". The record is from RNAcentral. Lineage: Eukaryota; Viridiplantae; Streptophyta; Magnoliopsida; Rosales; Rosaceae.